GAUAAAUUGAGAAAGUAAGAGAAAUGACGAAGAGGGCACCACUCUCUUCUCUAUGCAUCCUUGUGCUCCUAAUGCCUCUCGUGAUAUUCGUACAGCCAGAAACAAUCCCUUCUCAAACAAUAAAUCAUCGUAAAAUUGGGGUUACGAAAGGAGAGAGAGAAGGGAUGGAACAUUUGAUUCACCAAAGAAAAGUGAUUGCAAGGCCAAGCAGAUCACCAAGAGGACCAUCGAAAGGUCAUCCCCCGGGAAGACCCCUAAAGCUCCUUUAGCGCUUCACAAUCAUAUUAUAUAUAUAUAUAUAUGAAUAAUUAUUUUUUUGUUAAAUAUAUGAAUAAUUAUGAUUAGAUCGUACCAUUGUAUCUAGACAAUAAUUUUGUUUGUUGAAUAGAAUUUGUCAAAGUGA
Long non-coding RNA from Tarenaya hassleriana, 403 nucleotides. RefSeq lists it as uncharacterized. The transcript has 2 exons. The record is from RefSeq and is a predicted model, not a curated record. NCBI's taxonomy places the organism in Eukaryota, Viridiplantae, Streptophyta, Magnoliopsida, Brassicales, Cleomaceae.